Molecule: long non-coding RNA, 2470 nt
Organism: Neopsephotus bourkii (Bourke's parrot)
Lineage: Eukaryota; Metazoa; Chordata; Aves; Psittaciformes; Psittacidae
Exons: 4
Source: RefSeq, a predicted model, not a curated record
GCAUUUGCUGCUUGUGAUGCUUAUUAAACACCAAGAUAGAUGAUACUAAUUUUCCAGUUGGUUUUUGCAACCCAGAUUUCCACUGGCAAGUGUAAACAAGGGUAAACCACAUUAGGAAUCCAGCAAACCAGCUCCUAGAAAGUAAGCUCUGGCUCAAUAGAGAAAUGAUUUGCUGGGAAUAGUAACAUUGCACUUUAAUUUUCUCAACAGAUCUCAUCAGAAACAUUAUCUCAGAGACUGCCAGAAUGCAAAGCUAAUUUGUCUUUUCAUAAUAUGCCUUUUAGACACCUCCAUUUAAGUAUACAAUGCAUUUGUCUGAAGCACACAGGGAAGUAUCUUCUGUUAUGGACAAGACUGUUGUCUGAUGCAAACUAGAACAGGACUGUGGAAUUUUAUUGAAGCUGUGGCAAUCAGCACUACUAUGGGUCUCAGUGUGAAUGUUAAUCUACUUUAAGUCUCUUUUCUCUUGUAUUUAACCUUUGGGUUGGCUUGUUACAGUAGGCAUUAUAUACGUCUUUUUCUGAGCUAUUAAUUUAAACAGCCUUCUACAGUGUCUGUGGGCAAAGAGAAUGCAUACUUAACAUUUCUUUUCUAAAUAUAUUUUAAAUGGGCCCUUUUUGUAGUUACGAAAUGUGUAAUUAAAGCUGUAACCCAAAGAAACGUUUAAAUGUAUGCUUAAGAGUCUGUAUGGACUUAUGGAAUUUCUGGGUAUAUUUACUAUUACUCCUGACCUAGCCUACAUUUUGUUGUCAGGCAGCUGGUACCAUGGCAUGACAGCUCUCUUGCAAGGGCAUACUUUAUUGAGAUGUGGGAAAACCUUGUGUUUUAUUUGAGACUGUGGAGGAUUCUUAUCAGUUAUACUCAAAUUGAGGUUGAAGAAGCCAAACCAGAUAAAUAACGCUGUUCUCUUAGAGAAGAUAAGAGGAAGCAUCACUUUUUCACACAAAUCCAAUGUCUAUGGCACUUGCAUGUGAAGAGGAAGGAUGGUUCCAGCCUUCUCAGGCCAGCCUGAUCCAUGUGAACUUUGCUGGUGUGUGUGUGCAUUCCUUGGAACAGCUAACAGACUAUCUCCAGGGAAGAUCUGGUCACAUCUAUGGACAUACCACACACAUGAGAAACCCCAAGAAAACAAGCCCAAGCAGUGAGCUCUGAAGUGUUCAAAUUCUAGUGUAGACAAGAAGGGAGGAGAUGUGGGCAGCACCUCAAAUCUCACAGCAUGUUCAUGGUCCCUUUGUUGCGUGCAGCCUGUCACAUAUAAUGACUGAAGAAGUUCUGCUUCUCUCUCUACCUGUUUUUAUCUCUGAUUUACCUGGCAAUAUGACUAUGCAGCCAUCUGGGUUCUUGUGCUCUGUGGGCUUUACAAACUUUGUAAACACUACAGGUUCACACUCGGGAAUUACAUGCACAAGGGCCCAGCCAGCUAAGCAGCACAAGUAGCGUGUGGACACCAGUUUAUAAGCCUUUUAGAAGAUUUGAUGGUGUGUUCUUUAUUCUGUCUGUCCGUCCCUGUGGGCACACAAAUGCACGAUAGAUUAAUCGAGUUAAAUAUAUCCCAAAGUUGUUUGAAACAAUGCCUAUUUAAUUUUUUCAAGAGGCUGCACAGAAGUAUAGCAUUGUACCACAAAUAAAAGUGUUGCCACAAUGCCUGUAAAUCAGAGCUUUAAACUAUGUUUCAAUUAUCCUUCUAUUAUCCAGCUGGUGUUUAAACAUGUUUAUUAUUCAAAUCAGUAGAGAAUGUGCUGCUGUUGUGUAAACAACUGUCAAUUGCUGAAACAAUGAUUACAAGGCACCAUCUCUUUCAGGUGUACUUAGAGGUACUUAUACCUCAACCACUUGUAUUUAAAUAACAUGCAAACACAAUGCUUGAGUGACUACUUUCACUCCCGUUUCCAAUACCUCGUGCCAAUUCUAUUACAUUAAGAGGGAAAUCUAUUACAUUUUUCAUUUAUACACAUCUGUACUCUGUUUUUAACCAUUGUAUCAUUAAGGCUUGAGUUAAUAUAAUAGAUAUGCCAAGAGAUGCAGUACAUAUUGAGAAAUCCUGUUCAAAAUAAAAGCCAAUUUCUCUGCAUUAUUUUAAGGCAUUUGAAAGCUUUUGUGAAAACAAUACUAAGAAAAUUAUUUUCUAAAGAGGAAGCCUGAGAAAGAAAAGAUUUAGUCGUGGAACUCUGCUAUCCCCCAACCUCUCUAUUUGUUUUGAUGGAAACUGAGUACAUUACAAGUUGAUUGCUUCUUUUUUUUUCCAGGUAGGCAUCAACAAAAUACAGCAUUGAUGGUAUUAAACUGUCUGUCUUGUACAUGUGACAGUAUUCAGUACCUUCACACGCACUUACUGCUGGCUAAAGUGUUUGCCCAGUGAGCGUUAGAGGCAACUUUUUCCUGGUUUGUCACAAAUUGGAAGGGAGAAUGGUUGAAAAAGCUGCGUUUGUUAUAAAAAAUUCCGUGAGGAUCCUCAAAAGAAGCAACUGGA